RNAcentral lists this ribosomal RNA (835 nucleotides) under Micromonospora sp. IM-6760. RNAcentral's name for it is "bacterial SSU rRNA". It matches the Rfam family "Bacterial small subunit ribosomal RNA", at positions 38 to 889 of the family's 1533-position model. Lineage: Bacteria; Bacillati; Actinomycetota; Actinomycetes; Micromonosporales; Micromonosporaceae. The record is from RNAcentral.
GGCGGCGUGCUUAACACAUGCAAGUCGAGCGGAAAGGCCCUUCGGGGUACUCGAGCGGCGAACGGGUGAGUAACACGUGAGCAACCUGCCCUAGGCUUUGGGAUAACCCCGGGAAACCGGGGCUAAUACCGAAUAGGACCUGGCCUCGCAUGAGGCUGGGUGGAAAGUUUUUCGGCCUGGGAUGGGCUCGCGGCCUAUCAGCUUGUUGGUGGGGUGAUGGCCUACCAAGGCGACGACGGGUAGCCGGCCUGAGAGGGCGACCGGCCACACUGGGACUGAGACACGGCCCAGACUCCUACGGGAGGCAGCAGUGGGGAAUAUUGCACAAUGGGCGGAAGCCUGAUGCAGCGACGCCGCGUGAGGGAUGACGGCCUUCGGGUUGUAAACCUCUUUCAGCAGGGACGAAGCGUAAGUGACGGUACCUGCAGAAGAAGCGCCGGCCAACUACGUGCCAGCAGCCGCGGUAAGACGUAGGGCGCGAGCGUUGUCCGGAUUUAUUGGGCGUAAAGAGCUCGUGAGCGGCUUGUCGCGUCGACUGUGAAAACCCGCAGCUCAACUGCGGGCCUGCAGUCGAUAGCGGCAGGCUAGAGUUCGGUAGGGGAGACUGGAAUUCCUGGUGUAGCGGUGAAAUGCGCAGAUAUCAGGAGGAACACCGGUGGCGAAGGCGGGUCUCUGGGCCGAUACUGACGCUGAGGAGCGAAAGCGUGGGGAGCGAACAGGAUUAGAUACCCUGGUAGUCCACGCUGUAAACGUUGGGCGCUAGGUGUGGGGGGCCUCUCCGGUUCUCUGUGCCGCAGCUAACGCAUUAAGCGCCCCGCCUGGGGAGUACGGCCGC